GACGAACGCUGGCGGCGUGCUUAACACAUGCCAGUCGAACGGACAGGCCCUGCUUUUGUGGGGUGCUCGAGUGGCGAACGGGUGAGUAACACGUGAGUAACCUGCCCUUGACUUUGGGAUAACUUCAGGAAACUGGGGCUAAUACCGGAUAGGAGCUCCUGCUGCAUGGUGGGGGUUGGAAAGUUUCGGCGGUUGGGGAUGGACUCGCGGCUUGUCAGCUUGUUGGUGGGGUAGUGGCUUACCAAGGCUUUGACGGGUAGCCGGCCUGAGAGGGUGACCGGCCACAUUGGGACUGAGAUACGGCCCAGACUCGUACGGGAGGCAGCAGUGGGGGAUAUUGCACAGUGGGCGGAAGCCUGAUGCAGCAACGCCGCGUGCGGGAUGACGGCCUUCGGGUUGUAAACCGCUUUCGCCUGUGACGAAGCGUGAGUGACGGUAAUGGGUAAAGAAGCACCGGCUAACUACGUG
RNAcentral lists this ribosomal RNA (468 nucleotides) under uncultured bacterium. Its description in RNAcentral is "partial 16S ribosomal RNA". It matches the Rfam family "Bacterial small subunit ribosomal RNA", at positions 28 to 507 of the family's 1533-position model. The record is from RNAcentral.